CCGAGUUUACAAACUCCCAAACCCUUUGUGAACCUUACCGUAUCGUUGCGUCGGCGGGACCGCCCCGGCGCCCUCGGGCCCGGAACCAGGCGCCCGCCGGAGGCCCCAAACCCUCAUGUCUUUAGUGGUUUUCUCCUCUGAGUGACACAUAAAACAAAUAAAUAAA
This 166-nucleotide unclassified non-coding RNA is filed under the name soil metagenome. RNAcentral's name for it is "partial internal transcribed spacer 1". The record is from RNAcentral.